Molecule: ribosomal RNA, 207 nt
Filed under: uncultured delta proteobacterium
Lineage: Bacteria; Deltaproteobacteria
Description: partial 16S ribosomal RNA
Rfam family: Bacterial small subunit ribosomal RNA
Source: RNAcentral
CGUGUAGGCGGUUUUUUAAGUCUGAUGUGAAAGCCCUGGGCUCAACCUGGGAAGUGCAUUGGAUACUGGAAGACUUGAAUACGGGAGAGGGUAGUGGAAUUCCUGGUGUAGGAGUGAAAUCCGUAGAUAUCAGGAGGAACACCGGUGGCGAAGGCGGCUGCCUGGACCGAUAUUGACGCUGAGACGCGAAAGCGUGGGUAGCAAACA